RNAcentral lists this ribosomal RNA (468 nucleotides) under uncultured bacterium. RNAcentral's name for it is "partial 16S ribosomal RNA". It matches the Rfam family "Bacterial small subunit ribosomal RNA", at positions 28 to 507 of the family's 1533-position model. The record is from RNAcentral.
GACGAACGCUGGCGGCGUGCUUAACACAUGCAAGUCGAACGGUGAAGCUCCAGCUUGCUGGAGUGGAUCAGUGGCGAACGGGUGAGUAACACGUGAGCAACCUGCCCCUGACUCUGGAAUAAGCGCUGGAAACGGCGUCUAAUACUGGAUACGAGAAGGGUCCGCAUGGGCACUUUCUGUAAAGUUUUUCGGUUGGGGAUGGGCUCGCGGCCUAUCAGCUUGUUGGUGAGGUAAUGGCUCACCAAGGCGACGACGGGUAGCCGGCCUGAGAGGGCGACCGGCCACACUGGGACUGAGGCACGGCCCAGACUCCUACGGGAGGCAGCAGUGGGGAAUAUUGCACAAUGGGCGAAAGCCUGAUGCAGCGACGCCGCGUGAGGGAUGACGGCCUUCGGGUUGUAAACCUCUUUCAGCAGGGAAGAAGCGAAAGUGACGGUACCUGCAGAAGAAGCACCGGCUAACUACGUG